This 430-nucleotide small RNA is filed under the name Exserohilum rostratum. Its description in RNAcentral is "eukaryotic LSU rRNA". The stretch from base 127 to 280 matches the Rfam family "5.8S ribosomal RNA". The record is from RNAcentral. Lineage: Eukaryota; Fungi; Ascomycota; Dothideomycetes; Pleosporales; Pleosporaceae.
AUUUUUCACCCAUGUCUUUUGCGCACUUUUUGUUUCCUGGGCGAGUUCGCUCGCCACCAGGACCCAACCAUAAACCUUUUUUUAUGCAGUUGCAAUCAGCGUCAGUAUAAUAAUUCAAUUUAUUAAAACUUUCAACAACGGAUCUCUUGGUUCUGGCAUCGAUGAAGAACGCAGCGAAAUGCGAUACGUAGUGUGAAUUGCAGAAUUCAGUGAAUCAUCGAAUCUUUGAACGCACAUUGCGCCCUUUGGUAUUCCAAAGGGCAUGCCUGUUCGAGCGUCAUUUGUACCCUCAAGCUUUGCUUGGUGUUGGGCGUCUUUUUGUCUCUCCCCUUGUUGGGGGAGACUCGCCUUAAAACGAUUGGCAGCCGACCUACUGGUUUUCGGAGCGCAGCACAAAUUUGCGCCUUCCAAUCCACGGGUGCGGCAUCCA